Molecule: ribosomal RNA, 451 nt
Filed under: uncultured bacterium
Lineage: Bacteria
Description: partial 16S ribosomal RNA
Rfam family: Bacterial small subunit ribosomal RNA
Source: RNAcentral
GUGGGGAAUAUUGGACAAUGGGGGGAACCCUGAUCCAGCCAUGCCGCGUGUGUGAAGAAGGCCUUUUGGUUGUAAAGCACUUUAAGCGAGGAGGAGGCUACCGAGAUUAAUACUCUUGGAUAGUGGACGUUACUCGCAGAAUAAGCACCGGCUAACUCUGUGCCAGCAGCCGCGGUAAUACAGAGGGUGCAAGCGUUAAUCGGAUUUACUGGGCGUAAAGCGCGCGUAGGUGGCCAAUUAAGUCAAAUGUGAAAUCCCCGAGCUUAACUUGGGAAGUGCAUUGGAUACUGGUUGGCUAGAGUAUGGGAGAGGAUGGUAGAAUUCCAGGUGUAGCGGUGAAAUGCGUAGAGAUCUGGAGGAAUACCGAUGGCGAAGGCAGCCAUCUGGCCUAAUACUGACACUGAGGUGCGAAAGCAUGGGGAGCAAACAGGAUUAGAAACCCCGGUAGUCC